GUUGUCUGCAGACCCGGAAGCGGGUUUCGUGGAGCCGAGGCCAGUCUGUGGAGUGAUUGAAUUCUCAAGACUGAUCUUGUCUGAGGAAGAAGCCUGGAAGAGGAGGAAGAGGAAAGGAAGGAGUCUGGAAUGGCUGUUUAUCAGGGAUGGUUGACCUUCAGGGAUGUGGCCAUAGAAUUCUCUGAGGAGGAGUGGGAGUGCCUGGACCCUGCUCAGAGGGCCUUGUACAGGGACGUGAUGGUGGAGAACUACAGGAACCUGGUCUUCCUGGCCAUCUCUUCCAAAUGUAUGAUCAAGGAAUUACCACCCAAAGAGAACAAUAAUACAGGGGAAGUAUUGCAGACGGUUAUAUUGGAAAGACAUAAAAGCCGUGACACCGAAGAUUAUGCCUUUAGAGCAAUCCAGAAAAAUAUUCGUGACUUUGAGUGUCAGUGGGGAGACGGUGAAAGAAAUUACAAAGCAGUGCUUGUGACCCUUAACAAAAAUCUCAAUGGUGGAAGAGAUCAAUAUGGUGGAAGAGAUGCAGGAAAUAAACCAAUUGAAAACAGGUUUGGACUAAGCUUUCAGUCACAUCUGGCUGGAGUGCAGAUACUUCAUACUGAAGGGAAAAUUUACCAAUAUCACCAAGCUGAGAAGUCUGUCAACGAUGGGUCUUCAGUUUCACCACAUCCCAGAAUUCUUCCUAGUGUCCACACCAACAUUUCUAACAAACGUGGGAAUGAUUUCUUGCGUUCUUCAUUACUCACACAAGACCAGAAAGCACACCUUAGGGAAGAACCUUACAAACGUGAUGAGUGUGACAAAGCAGUUAAUCCCAGUUUACACCUCACUAGACAUCAGAUAAUCCAUCCAGGAGAGAAACCAUAUAAAUGUGAUGUAUGUGGGAAGGUCUUCAGUCACAACUCACACCUUGCAUGUCAUCGAAGAAUUCACACUGGAGAGAAACCUUACAAAUGCGUUGAGUGUGGCAAGGUGUUCAGUCGCAAUUCACACCUUGUACGUCAUCACAGGAUUCACACUGGGGAGAAACCUUACCACUGCAAUGAGUGUGGCAAAGCCUUUAGUGAGUGUUCAAGUCUUACUAACCAUCAGGUAAUCCACACUGGGGAGAAACCUUACAAGUGCAAUGAAUGUUGCAAGGUCUUCAGUCAGAGUUCAGGCCUUGCAAGCCAUCGAAGAAUUCAUACUGGAGAGAAACCUUACAAAUGUAAUGAGUGUGGCAAAGCCUUUACGUAUAGCUCACAACUCACUAACCACCAGGUAAUCCAUACUGGUGUGAAGCCUUACAAAUGUACUGAGUGUGGCAAAGCCUUUAAUCAGAGCUCACAUCUCACUAGACAUCAAAUAAUCCACACAGGAGAGAAACAUUACAAGUGUGACGAAUGUGGGAAGGUCUUCAGUUACGAUUCACACCUUGCACGUCAUCGCAGGAUUCAUUCUGGAGAGAAGCCUUACCAGUGUAACGAGUGUGGCAGAGCCUUUAGUAUGUAUUCAAGCCUUACUUACCAUCAGGUAAUCCACACUAGAGAGAAACCUUACAAAUGUAAUGAAUGUGGCAAGGUCUUCAGUCAGAGUUCGAGCCUUCCUAGUCAUCGGAGAAUUCAUACUGGAGAGAAACCAUACAAAUGUAAUCAGUGUGGCAGAUCUUUUAUUCAACGCUCAAACCUCACUAGACAUCAGAUGAUUCAUACAGGAGAGAAACCAUAUAAAUGUAAUGUAUGUGGGAAGGUCUUCAGUCAAAAUUCGAGCCUUGCAAGUCAUCAGAGAAUUCAUACUGGGGAGGAAAAACCUUACAAAUGUCAUGAUUGUGGCAAAACCUUUAAUCAGGGCUCACACCUCACUAGACAUCAGAUAAUUCAUACAAGAGAGGAACCAUAUAAAUGUAAUGUAUGUGGGAAAGUCUUCAGUCAAAAUUCAAACCUUGCAAGUCAUCAGAGAAUCCAUACCAGAGAAAAACCUUACAAAUGUAACGAAUGUGGCAAAGCCUUUAGUCAAAAUUCACACCUUGCAAAUCACCGGAGAGAAACCUUACAAAUGUAAUGAGUGUUGGAAAGCCUUUAGUGUGCACUCAAGCCUAACGAACCGUCAGGUAAUUCAUACUGGAGAGAAACCUUACCAAUGUAAUGAAUGUUGCAAGGCUUUUUGCCAAAGUUCGAAGCUUGUAAAACAUCACAGAAUACAUAGUGGAGAGAAACCACACAAAUGUAAUGUGUGUGGUAAAGCUUUUGUCCAAAGUUCAAGCCUGGUUGACCAUCAGAAAAGUCAUACUGGCGAGAAACCAAACAAAUGUAAUGUGUGCAGCAAAGCUUUUAUUGUGCUUUCAAACCUAAUAAGCCAUCAGAUAAUCUGUAUUGGAGAAAAGCCUUAUAAAUGUAAUGAAUGUGGCAAGGCUUUUAUCAAGCGUUCACACCUUAGGCAUCAUGAGAGAACUCAUACUGGAGAGAAACCAUACAAAUGUAUUGAAUGUGGCAAGGCAAUGAUCUGACAUCAGGAUUCACCAAAGAAUUCAUGCUGGAGAGAAACCUUACAAAUGUAAUGAGUGUGGCAAAUCUUUCAGUGUCCAUGCAAGCCUAAGUAAACAUCAGGUAAUCCAUACAGGUGAGAGACCUUACAAAUGUAAUGAGUGUGGCAAGGCUUUUAGCAGGGGUUCACACCUUAGGCUUCACGAGAAAAUUCAUACUGGAGAAAAGCCAUACAAAUGUAUUGAAUGUGGCAAGGCUUUUAGACAAUGGUCUGACCUCAGGAUUCACCAAAGAAUUCAUGCUGGAGAGAAACCUUACAAAUGCCACGAGUGUGGCAAAGCCUUUACUCGAGGGUCACACCUCACCAGUCAUCAGAUAAUCCAUACUGGAGAGAACCUUACAAAUGUACUGAACAUGGCAAGGCUUUUAGGUAUUGCCUUAAACUCCGGUUUCACCAAAUAGCUCACAUUUACAAGUGUAACAAAUGUGGCAGAGUUUUAAAUUAGUACUCUUCACUGGAUGUGAUUAAAUAUCCAGUAGAGAAACCACACAAAGGUAAUGUGUA
RNA transcript from Zalophus californianus (California sea lion), 3027 nucleotides. It is a transcript of the gene named zinc finger protein 665-like, with no coding region annotated. NCBI's taxonomy places the organism in Eukaryota, Metazoa, Chordata, Mammalia, Carnivora, Otariidae. The transcript has 5 exons. The record is from RefSeq and is a predicted model, not a curated record.